Molecule: ribosomal RNA, 682 nt
Filed under: Mucor circinelloides
Lineage: Eukaryota; Fungi; Mucoromycota; Mucoromycetes; Mucorales; Mucoraceae
Description: eukaryotic LSU rRNA
Rfam family: Eukaryotic large subunit ribosomal RNA
Source: RNAcentral
CAAGUGCAUUUCCUAGUACGGCGAGUGAAGAGGAAGAGCUCAAAGUUGGAAACUGUUUGGCUUAGCUAAACCGUAUUGUAAACUGUAGAAACAUUUUCCUGGCACGCCGGAUUAAUAAGUCCUUUGGAACAAGGCAUCAUGGAGGGUGAGAAUCCCGUCUUUGAUCCGAGUAGUUGUCUUUUGUGAUAUGUUUUCAAAGAGUCAGGUUGUUUGGGAAUGCAGCCUAAAUUGGGUGGUAAAUCUCACCUAAAGCUAAAUAUUUGCGAGAGACCGAUAGCGAACAAGUACCGUGAGGGAAAGAUGAAAAGAACUUUGAAAAGAGAGUUAAACAGUAUGUGAAAUUGUUAAAAGGGAACCGUUUGGAGCCAGACUGGUUUGACUGUAAUCAACCUAGAAUUCGUUCUGGGUGCACUUGCAGUCUAUACCUGCCAACAACAGUUUGAUUUGGAGGAAAAAAUUAGUAGGAAUGUAGCCUCUCGAGGUGUUAUAGCCUACUAUCAUACUCUGGAUUGGACUGAGGAACGCAGCGAAUGCCAUUAGGCGAGAUUGCUGGGUGCUUUCGCUAAUAAAUGUUAGAAUUUCUGCUUCGGGUGGUGCUAAUGUUUAAAGGAGGAACACAUCUAGUAUAUUUUUUAUUCGCUUAGGUUGUUGGCUUAAUGACUCUAAAUGACCCGUCUAAAAC